GCCGGAGUGGCGGAAUGGCAGACGCAUCCGACUUAAAAUCGGCCGACUGUAAAAGGUCAUGUGGGUUCGACUCCCACCUUCGGCACCA
Molecule: transfer RNA, 88 nt
Filed under: Chloroflexota bacterium
Lineage: Bacteria; Bacillati; Chloroflexota
Description: Chloroflexi bacterium (freshwater metagenome) tRNA-Leu
Rfam family: tRNA
About the family: Transfer RNA (tRNA) molecules are approximately 80 nucleotides in length. Their secondary structure includes four short double-helical elements and three loops (D, anti-codon, and T loops).
Source: RNAcentral